This 253-nucleotide ribosomal RNA is filed under the name uncultured bacterium. RNAcentral's name for it is "partial 16S ribosomal RNA". It matches the Rfam family "Bacterial small subunit ribosomal RNA", at positions 524 to 776 of the family's 1533-position model. The record is from RNAcentral.
UACGAAGGGGGCUAGCGUUGUUCGGAAUUACUGGGCGUAAAGCGCACGUAGGCGGAUAUUUAAGUCAGGGGUGAAAUCCCAGAGCUCAACUCUGGAACUGCCUUUGAUACUGGGUAUCUGGAGUAUGGAAGAGGUGAGUGGAAUUCCGAGUGUAGAGGUGAAAUUCGUAGAUAUUCGGAGGAACACCAGUGGCGAAGGCGGCUCACUGGUCCAUUACUGACACUGAGAGACGACAGCUGGGGGAGCGAAUAGG